GCAAGUCGAGCGGAAACGAAGAUAGCUUGCUAUCAGGCGUCGAGCGGCGGACGGGUGAGUAACGCGUAGGAAUCUACCUAGUAGUGGGGGAUAGCCCAGAGAAAUUUGGAUUAAUACCGCAUACGCCCUGAGGGGGAAAGGAGGGGAUCGUCGGACCUUUCGCUAUUAGAUGAGCCUGCGUAAGAUUAGCUAGAUGGUGGGGUAAUGGCCUACCAUGGCGACGAUCUGUAGCUGGUUUGAGAGGAUGAUC
RNAcentral lists this ribosomal RNA (250 nucleotides) under uncultured bacterium. RNAcentral's name for it is "partial 16S ribosomal RNA". It matches the Rfam family "Bacterial small subunit ribosomal RNA", at positions 57 to 305 of the family's 1533-position model. The record is from RNAcentral.